AUGUACUCCUACGGGAGGCAGCAGUGGGGAAUUUGACAAUGGGCGAAAGCCUGAUGCAGCGACGCCGCGUGGGGGAUGAAGGCCUUCGGGUUGUAAACCCCUUUCAGCAGGGAAGAAGCGAAAGUGACGGUACCUGCAGAAGAAGCGCCGGCUAACUACGUGCCAGCAGCCGCGGUAAUACGUAGGGCGCAAGCGUUGUCCGGAAUUAUUGGGCGUAAAGAGCUCGUAGGCGGUUUGUCGCGUCUGCUGUGAAAUCCCGAGGCUCAACCUCGGGCUUGCAGUGGGUACGGGCAGACUAGAGUGUGGUAGGGGAGACUGGAAUUCCUGGUGUAGCGGUGGAAUGCGCAGAUAUCAGGAGGAACACCAAUGGCGAAGGCAGGUCUCUGGGCCACAACUGACGCUGAGGAGCGAAAGCGUGGGGAGCGAACAGGAUUAGAUACCCUGGUAG
Molecule: ribosomal RNA, 448 nt
Filed under: uncultured bacterium
Lineage: Bacteria
Description: bacterial SSU rRNA
Rfam family: Bacterial small subunit ribosomal RNA
Source: RNAcentral